Molecule: ribosomal RNA, 669 nt
Filed under: uncultured archaeon
Lineage: Archaea
Description: bacterial SSU rRNA
Rfam family: Archaeal small subunit ribosomal RNA
Source: RNAcentral
GGGGNCCGCGNCCGAUCAGGGUUGUUGGUGAGGUAAUGGNCCACCCANGCCUUUUACCGGUGCGGGCCGUGGGAGCGGGAGCCNGGAGAUGGGCACUGAGACAAGGGCCCAGGCCCUACGGGGCGCAGCAGUCGCGAAAACUUUGCAAUAAGCGAGAGCUUGACAGGGCUAUCCCGAGUGCCAUCCGCUGAGGAUGGCUUUUCUCUGCUGUUAAAAGGCGGGGGAAUAAGGAGAGGGCAAGUCUGGUGUCAGCCGCCGCGGUAAUACCAGCUCUCCGAGUGGUGGGGAUGAUUAUUGGGCCUAAAGCGUCCGUAGCCUGCCUUCCAAGUCUCUCGUUAAAUCCGGCGAUUCAAUCGUUGGACUGCGGGAGAUACUGUCAGGCUAGGGGGCGGGAGAAGCCGACGGUAUUUCCGGGGUAGGGGUAAAAUCCUAUAAUCCCGGGAAGACCACCAGUGGCGUAGGCGGUCGGCUAGCACGCGCUCGACGGUGAGGGACGAAAGCUGGGGGAGCGAACCGGAUUAGAUACCCGGGUAGUCCCAGCUGUAAACGAUGCAGGCUAGGUGUUGGAGCGGCUACGAGCCGCUUCAGUGCCGCAGGGAAGCCAUUAAGCCUGCCGCCUGGGGAGUACGGCCGCAAGGCUGAAACUUAAAGGAAUUGGCGGGGGAGCAC